RNAcentral lists this ribosomal RNA (253 nucleotides) under uncultured bacterium. Its description in RNAcentral is "partial 16S ribosomal RNA". It matches the Rfam family "Bacterial small subunit ribosomal RNA", at positions 524 to 776 of the family's 1533-position model. The record is from RNAcentral.
UACGGGGGGGGCAAGCGUUGUUCGGAAUCACUGGGCGUAAAGCGCACGUAGGCGGAUCUUUAAGUCAGGGGUGAAAUCCUGGAGCUCAACUCCAGAACUGCCUUUGAUACUGGGGAUCUCGAGUCCGGAAGAGGUGAGUGGAACUCCGAGUGUAGAGGUGAAAUUCGUAGAUAUUCGGAAGAACACCAGUGGCGAAGGCGGCUCACUGGUCCGGUACUGACGCUGAGGUGCGAAAGCGUGGGGAGCAAACAGG